GAUGAAGAACGUAGCGAAAUGCGAUAUGUAAUGUGAAUUGCAGAAUUCAGUGAAUCAUCGAAUCUUUGAACGCAUAUUGCGCUCUCUGGUAUUCCGGAGAGCAUGCUUGUUUGAGUAUCAGUAAACACCUCAACUCCCUUUUCUUUUUUGAAAUUGGAGCUGGACUUGAGUGAUCCCAACGCUUUCUUCCAAGAAAGUGGCGGGUUGCUUGAAAUGCAGGUGCAGCUGAACUUUUCUCUGAGCUAUAAGCAUAUCUAUUUAGUCUGCCUAAAAAACAGAUUAUUACCUUUGCUGCAGCUAACAUAAAGGAGACUAGUUCUUGUGCUGACUGAUGCAGGAUUCACAGAGACAGCUUCGGCUGACUUUGUAAACUCGAUCUCAAAUCAAGUAAGACUACCCGCUGAACUUAAGCAUAUCAAUAAGCGGAGGA
This 430-nucleotide unclassified non-coding RNA is filed under the name soil metagenome. RNAcentral's name for it is "partial contains 5.8S ribosomal RNA, internal transcribed spacer 2, and large subunit ribosomal RNA". The stretch from base 1 to 120 matches the Rfam family "5.8S ribosomal RNA", at positions 35 to 154 of the family's 154-position model. The record is from RNAcentral.